This 653-nucleotide ribosomal RNA is filed under the name bacterium YG-85. Its description in RNAcentral is "bacterial SSU rRNA". It matches the Rfam family "Bacterial small subunit ribosomal RNA", at positions 781 to 1434 of the family's 1533-position model. The record is from RNAcentral.
GAUACCCUGGUAGUCCACUCUGUAAACGAUGUCGACUUGGAGGUUGUUCCCUUGAGGAGUGGCUUCCGGAGCUAACGCGUUAAGUCGACCGCCUGGGGAGUACGGCCGCAAGGUUAAAACUCAAAUGAAUUGACGGGGGCCCGCACAAGCGGUGGAGCAUGUGGUUUAAUUCGAUGCAACGCGAAGAACCUUACCUACUCUUGACAUCCAGAGAACUUAGCAGAGAUGCUUUGGUGCCUUCGGGAACUCUGAGACAGGUGCUGCAUGGCUGUCGUCAGCUCGUGUUGUGAAAUGUUGGGUUAAGUCCCGCAACGAGCGCAACCCUUAUCCUUUGUUGCCAGCGGUUCGGCCGGGAACUCAAAGGAGACUGCCAGUGAUAAACUGGAGGAAGGUGGGGAUGACGUCAAGUCAUCAUGGCCCUUACGAGUAGGGCUACACACGUGCUACAAUGGCAUAUACAAAGAGAAGCGACCUCGCGAGAGCAAGCGGACCUCAUAAAGUAUGUCGUAGUCCGGAUCGGAGUCUGCAACUCGACUCCGUGAAGUCGGAAUCGCUAGUAAUCGUGGAUCAGAAUGCCACGGUGAAUACGUUCCCGGGCCUUGUACACACCGCCCGUCACACCAUGGGAGUGGGUUGCAAAAGAAGUAGGUAGC